GGAGUUUGGGCCGUGUCUCAGUCCCAAUGUGGCCGUCCGCCCUCUCAGGCCGGCUACUGAUCGUCGCCCCGGUGGGCCGUUACCCCGCCGGCAAGCUAAUCAGACGCAUCCCCAUCCCUCAGCGAUAAAUCUUUGCUCCUCGUUAGAUGCCCGCAAAGGAGAACAUAGGGCAUUAAUCCGACUUUCGCCGGGCUAUUCCCUACUGAGGGCCAGGUUGGAUACGCGUUACUCACCCGUGCGCCGGUCGCCAGCGGAGAUAGCAAGCUAUCUCCCUCGAUGCCCCUCCGACUUGCAUGU
This 297-nucleotide ribosomal RNA is filed under the name uncultured Prevotella sp. RNAcentral describes it as "partial 16S ribosomal RNA". Lineage: Bacteria; Pseudomonadati; Bacteroidota; Bacteroidia; Bacteroidales; Prevotellaceae. The record is from RNAcentral.